This 251-nucleotide ribosomal RNA is filed under the name uncultured bacterium. Its description in RNAcentral is "partial 16S ribosomal RNA". It matches the Rfam family "Bacterial small subunit ribosomal RNA", at positions 524 to 776 of the family's 1533-position model. The record is from RNAcentral.
GACGAAGGUGGCAACCGUUGCUCGGAAUCACUGGGCAUAAAGCGCACGUAGGUGGCUAAGUAAGUCGGUGGUGAAAUACCUUGGCUCAACCAAGGAAGUGCCAUCGAUACUGCCAUGCUUGAGGACGGGAGGGUGAGUGGAACUCUUGGUGUAGCGGUGAAAUGCGUAGAUAUCAAGAGGAACGCCGGUGGCGAAAGCGACUCACUGGACCGAUCCUGACACUGAGGUGCGAAAGCUAGGGAGCAAACAGG